UCGGGUGUGGUGCAUGGUGCACGGCGGCUGCAUUUAGUUGUCGGGGUUUGUACUAAGCCACAGACCGGGGUUCGACUCCCCGCGCCCGAC
This is a non-coding RNA of Mycena rosella, 90 nucleotides long. NCBI's taxonomy places the organism in Eukaryota, Fungi, Basidiomycota, Agaricomycetes, Agaricales, Mycenaceae. The record is from the annotation of a GenBank genome assembly.